Molecule: transfer RNA, 72 nt
Filed under: Phrynosoma platyrhinos (Desert horned lizard)
Lineage: Eukaryota; Metazoa; Chordata; Lepidosauria; Squamata; Phrynosomatidae
Description: tRNA-OTHER
Source: RNAcentral
GCCAGCAUGGUGUAGUGGUUUGAGUGUUGGACUACCACUCUGGAGACCUGGGUUUGAUUCCCCACUUUGCCA